Anguilla rostrata (American eel) is the source of this 1006-nucleotide long non-coding RNA. RefSeq lists it as uncharacterized. The record is from RefSeq and is a predicted model, not a curated record. The transcript is spliced from 2 exons. NCBI's taxonomy places the organism in Eukaryota, Metazoa, Chordata, Actinopteri, Anguilliformes, Anguillidae.
UAAACCUGUCCAAUCACUGCAACGUCCUUUAUAACAGCGGGCUGAUACGCGUGCGUCUCUUUCACAUGCAGACGGCUGCCACUUCUCACCGGAGAGUCAGUAAGCUGAGCUGCGCAGUCGUUCAGCUGGAAUACUUACAACGUAAGAAGCUGUCGCAGGCAGAAAACUAGAGAAACCGAAUGAGCAGAAUGGUGAAAGGUCUCCUACGGCGGUGGGUCCAGUCCAGUGUGCUGCAACGCGGCUCCGCAAUGCACAUCAACACCGAUUUUCAAUCUGACAGGUCAAGGAAGCAACUGAUGUGAAGUUUUUAAGUUUUUUUUAUUUUAUUAGAAAUUCCAGAUGCAAUAUGGCUACAAACAAGGCAGAAGUAUCAGGCAUAGAAAGGCAGCAUUUACACCUUCACAAAUUUGCACUGGAUAACACUGGACCUACAGAAGACAAAAAAAGAGCAGGUACGAAUCUGUGUACAUCAAAAAAAAUAAAGUCUACAAAAAAAGCCAGACGGUGCUAGAAAUUGUGAGCUGUGACAUUCUCAGUCUUAAAUUACAAUGAUAGAAUAUUCGCCAUUCAUUUCCCAAAGGGUCAUUUUGAAUUCUGCAUUUUUGCAAGAGCAAGCAAUUUUAAAACUGCAUUCAGAGUAUUCUUUGAACGGUGUACUCUGACUAGAGAUAAGAUUGAGUUGUGCUUCACAUAAAACUCCGCCUAUGCACUGCGUAUUUGAAAUCUUGCCCGUUUGAAACCUAGGCACAGUUCUGUUAGGGGCAUUACAAUAGAACAUCCACAGUCUAGAUAAAUAUGCUCAAGCGUCCGCUGACUUGCACAGGAAGUCUGAUACGUUAUGCAAAUGUACUGCUGUAGUGUUAAAUUGAGGGAGAUGCAUAUCCGGACGAUUUCUAGCCAACCCACCGUUGUUUUGUUUUUUACCAUUAUCGUACGCGAAAUCGAUGGCUAUACAGGAGGCCGAGCAUUCAGUCUGUGCGCACUCAAGCUGUCCUGAAAUAAUAAA